GACGAACGCUGGCGGCGCGCCUAACACAUGCAAGUCGAACGAGCGAGAGAGAGCUUGCUUUCUUGAGCGAGUGGCGAACGGGUGAGUAACGCGUGAGAAACCUGCCUCAAAGAGGGGGACAACAGUUGGAAACGACUGCUAAUACCGCAUAAGCCCACGGUGCCGCAUGGCACAGAGGGAAAAGGAGCAAUCCGCUUUGAGAUGGCCUCGCGUCCGAUUAGCUAGUUGGUGAGGUAACGGCCCACCAAGGCGACGAUCGGUAGCCGGACUGAGAGGUUGAACGGCCACAUUGGGACUGAGACACGGCCCAGACUCCUACGGGAGGCAGCAGUGGGGAAUAUUGCACAAUGGGGGAAACCCUGAUGCAGCGACGCCGCGUGGAGGAAGAAGGUCUUCGGAUUGUAAACUCCUGUUGUUGGGGAAGAUAAUGACGGUACCCAACAAGGAAGUGACGGCUAACUACGUG
Molecule: ribosomal RNA, 466 nt
Filed under: uncultured bacterium
Lineage: Bacteria
Description: partial 16S ribosomal RNA
Rfam family: Bacterial small subunit ribosomal RNA
Source: RNAcentral